UACGGAGGGUGCAAGCGUUGUCCGGAUUUAUUGGGUUUAAAGGGUGCGUAGGCGGUUCUUUAAGUCAGUGGUGAAAGCCUCCAGCUUAACUGGAGGAAUGCCAUUGAUACUGGGGAACUUGAGUACAGACGAGGUAGGCGGAAUUGACAGUGUAGCGGUGAAAUGCAUAGAUAUUGUCAAGAACACCGAUUGCGAAGGCAGCUUACUAGACUGUAACUGACGCUGAGGCACGAAAGUGUGGGGAUCAAACAGG
RNAcentral lists this ribosomal RNA (253 nucleotides) under uncultured bacterium. RNAcentral's name for it is "partial 16S ribosomal RNA". It matches the Rfam family "Bacterial small subunit ribosomal RNA", at positions 524 to 776 of the family's 1533-position model. The record is from RNAcentral.